This 433-nucleotide ribosomal RNA is filed under the name uncultured bacterium. Its description in RNAcentral is "partial 16S ribosomal RNA". It matches the Rfam family "Bacterial small subunit ribosomal RNA", at positions 29 to 507 of the family's 1533-position model. The record is from RNAcentral.
AACGAACGCUGGCGGCAGGCUUAACACAUGCAAGUCGAACGGAUCCUUCGGGAUUAGUGGCAGACGGGUGAGUAACGCGUGGGAACGUACCCUUUGCUACGGAAUAACUCAGGGAAACUUGAGCUAAUACCGUAUGUGCCCUACGGGGGAAAGAUUUAUCGGCACAGGAUCGGCCCGCGUUGGAUUAGCUAGUUGUUGGGGUAAUGGCCUACCAAGGCGACGAUCCAUAGCUGGUCUGAGAGGAAGGUCAGCCACACUGGGACUGAGACACGGCCCAGACUCCUACGGGAGGCAGCAGUGGGGAAUAUAGGAAAGUGGGCGCAAGGCUGAACCAGCCAUGCCGCGUGAGUGAUGAAGGUCUUAGGGUUGUAAAGCUCUUUCACCGGUGAAGAUAAUGACGGUAGCCAGAGAAGAAGCCCCGGCUAACUUCGUG